Non-coding RNA from Loxodonta africana (African savanna elephant), 83 nucleotides. Lineage: Eukaryota; Metazoa; Chordata; Mammalia; Proboscidea; Elephantidae. The record is from the annotation of a RefSeq genome assembly.
GGUAGCGUGGCCGAGCGGUCUAAGGCGCUGGAUUUAGGAUCCAGUCUCUGCGGUGGGCGUGGGUUCGAAUCCCACCGCUGCCA